This 254-nucleotide ribosomal RNA is filed under the name uncultured bacterium. RNAcentral's name for it is "partial 16S ribosomal RNA". It matches the Rfam family "Bacterial small subunit ribosomal RNA", at positions 524 to 776 of the family's 1533-position model. The record is from RNAcentral.
UACGGGGGGAGCAAGCGUUGUUCGGAUUUACUGGGCGUAAAGGGCGGGUAGGCGGCCACCGCAAGUCAGUUGUGAAAUCUCCGGGCUUAACCCGGAAAGGUCAACUGAUACUGCGGGGCUAGAGUGCAGAAGGGGCAACUGGAAUUCUCGGUGUAGCGGUGAAAUGCGUAGAUAUCGAGAGGAACACCUGCGGCGAAGGCGGGUAGCUGGGCCGACACUGACGCUGAUGCGCGAAAGCCAGGGGAGCGAACGGG